This 103-nucleotide small nuclear RNA is filed under the name Dasypus novemcinctus (nine-banded armadillo). Lineage: Eukaryota; Metazoa; Chordata; Mammalia; Cingulata; Dasypodidae. The record is from RNAcentral.
GCACUCAUUUGGCAGCACAUAUACUAAAAUUGGAAUGAUACAGAGAUUAGCAUGGCCCCUGAACAAGGAUGACACGCAAAUUUGUGAAGCAUUCCAUAUUUAA